RNAcentral lists this long non-coding RNA (1068 nucleotides) under Homo sapiens (human). RNAcentral's name for it is "HSALNT0360249". Lineage: Eukaryota; Metazoa; Chordata; Mammalia; Primates; Hominidae. The record is from RNAcentral.
GGCAACGGGCUUGGGUCCCCUUGUGCACUGUGGAAGGUUUGUUCUUUUGUUGUUUGCAAUAAAUCUUGCUACUGCUCACUCUUUGGGUCCACGCUGCUUUUCUGAGCUGUAACACUCACCGCGAAGAUUUGCAGUUUCACUCCUGAGCCCAGCGAGACCACGAGCCCCCCGGAAGGAACGAACUACAGACGCGUUGCCUUAAGAGCUAUAAUACUCACCGUGAAGGUCUGCAGCUUCACUCCUGAGCCAGCGAGACCACAAACCCACCAGAAGGAAGAAACUCCGAACACAUCUGAAUAUCAGAAGGGAGAGACUCCACACGCGCCACCUUAAGAGCUGUAACACUCACCGUGAGGGUCCGCGGCUUCAUUCUUGAAGUCAGUGAGACCAAGAACCCGCCAAUUCUGGACACACAAGGAGGGUACAAUGGUCUUGUUCAGUAGGUGCCAGAAGGUCCCACGGUAAGAAAGAAGGCAAACACCAACUCACAAGCACUUUCCUCUGCUUGUGACACAUUAGCUAUUUUUACAUUGUCCAAAGCAAGUCACAAGGCCAGAGUCCGUGGGAGGGGACCACCCAAGGGCAUGGAACGAGGGAACCAGGAACAAGUGGGAGCUGUUACUGCCACAACCAACUACACUGACCCAUUUCUCAGUGGUCUCCGAAUGUUUUUGAUCAUAUAUCCCUGUAUUAGUCUGUUCAGGCUGCCAUCACAAAAUAACACAGACAGAAUAGCUUAAACAACAGAAGUUUAUUUUUUCAUAGUUAUGGAAACCCAAGAUCAGGGUGCUGGUAUGGUUGGGUUGUGGUGGGGUCUCUCUUCCUGGUCUGCAGAUGGCUGCCUUCUUGCUAUGUUCUUACAUGGUCCUUCCUGGAUGUAUGCACAGGGAGAGAGAGCACAAUAUCUCUCUCAUCCCUCUCUUACAAGGUCACCAAUUCAAUUGAUUAGGACCCCACCCUUAUGACCUUAUUUAACCUUAAUUACCUCCUAAAAGCCCCAUGUCCAAAUACAGUCACACUGGGGAUUAGGGCUUCAACAUAUGUAUUUGUUGGAACACAGUUCAGUCC